GACGAACGCUGGCGGCGUGCUUAACACAUGCAAGUCGAACGGAAAGGCCCUGCUUUUGUGGGGUGCUCGAGUGGCGAACGGGUGAGUAACACGUGAGUAACCUGCCCUUGACUUUGGGAUAACUUCAGGAAACUGGGGCUAAUACCGGAUAGGAGCUCCUGCUGCAUGGUGGGGGUUGGAAAGUUUCGGCGGUUGGGGAUGGACUCGCGGCUUAUCAGCUUGUUGGUGGGGUAGUGGCUUACCAAGGCUUUGACGGGUAGCCGGCCUGAGAGGGUGACCGGCCACAGUGGGACUGAGAUACGGCCCAGACUCCUACGGGAGGCAGCAGUGGGGAAUAUUGCACAAGGGGCGGAAGCCUGAUGCAGCAACGCCGCGUGCGGGAUGACGGCCGUCGGGUUGUAAACCGCUUUCGCCUGUGACGAAGCGUGAGUGACGGUAAUGGGUAAAGAAGCACCGGCUAACUACGUG
Molecule: ribosomal RNA, 468 nt
Filed under: uncultured bacterium
Lineage: Bacteria
Description: partial 16S ribosomal RNA
Rfam family: Bacterial small subunit ribosomal RNA
Source: RNAcentral